Non-coding RNA from Acanthosepion pharaonis, 97 nucleotides. Lineage: Eukaryota; Metazoa; Mollusca; Cephalopoda; Sepiida; Sepiidae. The record is from the annotation of a GenBank genome assembly.
UUAAAACAUCAGUUCCCAUACAAUCACCGAAGUUAAGAAACAUCAAGCCUGAUCAGAACCUAGAUGGGUGACUGCUUGAGAAUACCAGGUGCUGCAA